This is a long non-coding RNA of Magallana angulata, 617 nucleotides long. RefSeq lists it as uncharacterized. The transcript is spliced from 3 exons. Lineage: Eukaryota; Metazoa; Mollusca; Bivalvia; Ostreida; Ostreidae. The record is from RefSeq and is a predicted model, not a curated record.
AGGAACAACCUAUGAAUCAGGUGUUAGAUUGUCUUGUGCUGAUGCUGUAAUAGAAGAAAUCCUAGAUUGCACCCCUGCUUCCAAACCUGUUUCAGUGCCUACCCAUACAGAUUCAAACCUCCUUUAUUUUGACUUGGAAACAACUGGACUAGGUACAUCAGCAGAAAUAACACAGCUUGCUUGCAUAUUUGAAGAAGAAACCUUUAAUAGAUUUUAACAUGUUUAGUGACAUCGUUGCGGAAAAACACACUAUUUGUAAGUAUGUCGAUCAUGUUGGUUUGAAAAGCUUGUGUUUCCAUAGCGUAUCAACUCGAUGUUCAUCAUGUAAGUAUUAUGUAUGGUGUACUGUUUGUGUUCUUUGUGUCUGUGUCUGUAGUACAUGUAGUUGCAUGCAAGCUUUUUAAAUAUAAAAUAUAUAUCAGAACAUCGUCGGCACUUUAUACAGAAUAUAAGUAUUAUUAUAAUUCCUAUUUUUCUUUUGUAUUGUCCUUUUUUCUGUUGUAUUGUCCAUUGCAUGCAUUUGUGUGUAAAUUUAUGAGGUUUCUUUUAGAAUAAAAUUUUCUUUAAUAAUUUAUUAACUCAUAUUAUUGAUCCUUCAUUGUACAAUAGUUUGCAAA